RNAcentral lists this ribosomal RNA (460 nucleotides) under uncultured bacterium. Its description in RNAcentral is "partial 16S ribosomal RNA". It matches the Rfam family "Bacterial small subunit ribosomal RNA", at positions 338 to 795 of the family's 1533-position model. The record is from RNAcentral.
CCUACGGGUGGCAGCAGUGAGGAAUAUUGGUCAAUGGACGCAAGUCUGAACCAGCCAUGCAGCGUGCAGGAUGACGGCUCUAUGAGUUGUAAACUGCUUUUGUACAGGGGUAAACCCCGAUACGUGUGUCGUUUUGACUGUAUUUUAUGAAUAAGAAUCGGCUCACUCCGUGCCAGCAGCCGCGGUAAUACGGAGGAUCCGAGCGUUAUCCGGAUUUAUUGGGUUUAAAGGGAGCGUAGACGGUUUGGUAAGUUAGAUGUGAAAUGUCGGGGCUAAACCACAAAACUGCAUGUGAUACUGGUAGACUUGAGUACAGUUGAGGUAGGCGGAAUUCGUGGUGUAGCGGGGAAAUGCUUAGAUAUCAUGCAGAACACCGAUUGCGAAGGCAGCUUACUAAACUAUAACUGACGUUGAGGCACGAAAGUGUGGGUAGCAAACAGGAUUAGAUACCCGAGUAGUC